CUCUAAUAAAAACAUAUGGCGAAGUUAUAGAUAAUAUUAAAUUGAUUUUAAAAAUUCUACAAUUGUGAUUUCAAUUAAAAUUAAUGAAGAUUCACAAGACAAUUCCAAAUGCACAGAUGUACUUCGAUUAGUAGAAGAAUCAAGACCUCGAGGAAGGCCGAAGAUGACGUGGAUAAAGGUGAAAGUGGCGGAUAUGAUAAAAAUGAAUCUUACAAAUAUUAAUACUCAGGACGGUUAAAAAUGGAGAGGGAAAACUGCUUAACUGGGUAAACCUGGAAAUCGCUAUUGAGCAAAGAAGAAGGAGAAGUAUAUAUCCAAAAAAGAACCGGAAUUAUAUUUAAAAAUUUCUCUAUUUUAUAUAAUUUGUUAUUGAUUUUGCGAAAAUUAUCGAAAUUUCUCAUUGCUUAUCUCUUUGUUUGUGAAUAAUUGAAUAGCGAAUUAUUUAUACAAAGCUUAGUGUGUGUAAUUUUUUAAUUAUUAAUAAAUCCAAAAUAUUUUAUUUA
Molecule: long non-coding RNA, 503 nt
Organism: Gordionus sp. m RMFG-2023
Lineage: Eukaryota; Metazoa; Nematomorpha; Gordioida; Chordodea; Parachordodidae
Exons: 2
Source: RefSeq, a predicted model, not a curated record